UUUAACCGUAACCAUGAGUUUCCGUGUCCACUUUAAUCGUUUGUCUUAUUUAAAAUUUUUUUAUGAUUACUAUUUUUGUUGUUAUUAGAAGAUAAAACAUGAAUAGUACUUUUUAUGUGACUUAUGUUUUAAUUUUUUUUAAAAAAAAAUUAAAAUAAGACGGACGAUUAAAAGUUGGAAAAAAAACUCAUGGCUGUGCUUAAA
Molecule: non-coding RNA, 204 nt
Organism: Oryza glumipatula
Lineage: Eukaryota; Viridiplantae; Streptophyta; Magnoliopsida; Poales; Poaceae
Source: Rfam